CGGUGUUGGGGGACGUGAGGGCGCCGACGCUUCGCCUGAGCGGGCAGUGUUCGUGGUUUGAGUUUGUGACUGCUGGGGACGCUUUCCCGGCCGGCUCGCUGUUUGGAAGCGUGCUCUGCCUUCGCACUGCCUGUUGGGCCCACCAUGAGGCGCCUGGGUUCGGUGCAGCGGAAAAUGCCGUGUGUGUUUGUGACGGAGGUGAAAGAGGAGCCCUCCACCAAAAGGGAGCAUCAGCCAUUUAAAGUUUUGGCAACUGAAACUCUAAGUCACAAGGCAUUAGAUGCAGAUAUAUACAGUGCACUUCCAACAGAAAAAGUGGAUGGAACAUGUUGCUAUAUUACUACCUACAAAGGUCAGCCAUACCUUUGGGCUCGGCUAGAUAGAAAACCUAACAAACUAGCUGAGAAAAGAUUUAAAAAUUACCUACAAUCAAAACAAAACUCACAAGAAUUUUUUUGGAAUGUUGAGGAGGACUUCAAACCUGUUCCAGAGUGCUGGAUACCAGCGAAGGAAAUAGAACAAUUAAAUGGGAAUCCGAUGCCUGAUGAAAAUGGACACAUUCCUGGUUGGGUACCAGUGGAGAAACACAACAAACAGUACUGCUGGCAUUCCUCUGUAGUUAAUUAUGAAUUCGAAGUUGCCCUGGUACUGAAGCAUCAUCCUGAUGAUCCUGGGCUUCUGGAAAUUAGUGCAGUGCCGCUCUCAGAUCUCCUAGAACAAACACUAGAACUUAUAGGAACAAAUAUUAAUGGAAACCCGUAUGGGCUAGGAAGCAAGAAGCAUCCAUUACAUCUUCUUAUACCACAUGGGGCAUUUCAAAUCCGAAAUCUACCUACCUUGAAGCACAAUGAUCUGUUAUCCUGGUUUGAAGGUUGCAGAGAGGGUAAAAUUGAAGGAAUAGUAUGGCAUUGUAACGAUGGCUGUUUAAUCAAGGUAAUGACAGAAAGUAGCUCGCGGGAUGUCGUCGUCUUACUUCCUAAAACGAGGUAGAAGUGGCACUAGAAUAUUCUCUACAGAUUGCAGUAAUUCUAAUGUGUUAUAAAGAAAUUUAAUUUCCCAUUCUCACAGGCCACCAUUCUUUAUAUAAUAGUGUUUCCCAAUGUGUAUUCAUUCUCUGGGGCAUUGGUUUUCCUAGACGCGCUUCAGAAUUAAAGUGAUGAAAAUGUCUGGAAAAACUGCACAUUACAUACUGCCUUCUUGGAAAUUGAUGUUGCAGAUGAAUGCGCUCUGACAUAAUCCGUACCAACUUAGUUUAACUCAGCAUUUCCCAAACUUACUUGAUUAUAGAAUUUGAGUUAAAAGUGCCAAGGUAACAGUUAAUAUUUACAGAAGGAACUUUUAUACUUUAUGCCCUUUCUGUCUCUUGGACUUGUCUAUUUGAUUUCGCAAAGGUUUCUGAAAUUAGUAAUGUUCAGAACUGGACCUAGUCAUAUCCACCCCUGACUCCCAACAGUUCAAAAACUGAAAUAUCAUUUUUAACCCCUCUCUCCAUUACUUCACAGAUAAAGAUUCUGAUCUGUUGAAUCUGUACUUCUCCCCAACCAGUUGGCAGUUAAUUUUCAUUUUAACUGAAGCCAAGAUUCAUGCUUGACCUAGUUUAUCACCCUCUUAAAGGUUAUCUUUCAGUCUUAUCCCUGUUCUGUCCAUUCUUCACAGUAAGUGAAAAUGUUAACUUUGCUGCAUAAAACUUGCUUAGUGACCUUAAGAUUAUUCAUGAUCUGACCCUUGCUUCACUUUCUGGAACUGCUGUACACCCCCAUCUGCCAAAUAUACCCACACAGUAUAUGUUCUAACCAUGCUUAUAUAAUUGCAAUCAGAGCAAAAAAAGCACCAUUGUGUCACGUGACAUUUAGAAUGCCUCCCCACCCAUAUUUUUUAAUUGGCUAGCUUCUGUACUCAGCAGCAGACUCUAUUCAUUAAAUUUUUAUGGAGUCCCUGAAUAUGUUCCUGGCAUGUUUCCAGGUGCUGGAAAUACAGAAUCAACAAAACAGUGUUUCUGCCUUCACGAAGCUCACAUUCUAAUGGGGAAGAUAGACAAUAACAAGUAAAUAUGUAAUAUGUCAGGAGGAGAACACGUAUGAAAAAAAAAGGGUUCAUCGCCAUCAUCUUGGUUUAUGCUGGCCAAUUCCAGAUACUUAUAUGAAUUCAAAACCAGUUAUUAUCAACAUGAACCUGAACAAGUAUGACCAUGCCUUUAAUACUAAAUGUUUGUUUAGUCUUUUUUCAA
This is an RNA transcript of Mirounga angustirostris (Northern elephant seal), 2227 nucleotides long. It is a transcript of the gene named RNA 5'-phosphate and 3'-OH ligase 1, with no coding region annotated. The record is from RefSeq and is a predicted model, not a curated record. NCBI's taxonomy places the organism in Eukaryota, Metazoa, Chordata, Mammalia, Carnivora, Phocidae. The transcript is spliced from 7 exons.